Molecule: ribosomal RNA, 460 nt
Filed under: uncultured bacterium
Lineage: Bacteria
Description: partial 16S ribosomal RNA
Rfam family: Bacterial small subunit ribosomal RNA
Source: RNAcentral
CCUACGGGAGACAGCAGUGAGGAAUAUUGGUCAAUGGACGAGAGUCUGAACCAGCCAAGUAGCGUGAAGGAUGACUGCCCUAUGGGUUGUAAACUUCUUUUAUAUGGGAAUAAAAUGUUCCACGUGUGGGAUUUUGUAUGUACCAUAUGAAUAAGGAUCGGCUAACUCCGUGCCAGCAGCCGCGGUAAUACGGAGGAUCCGAGCGUUAUCCGGAUUUAUUGGGUUUAAAGGGAGCGUAGGUGGAUUGUUAAGUCAGUUGUGAAAGUUUGCGGCUCGACCGUAAAAGUGCAGUUGAAACUGGCAGUCUUGAGUACAGUAGAGGUGGGCGGAAUUCGUGGUGUAGCGGUGAAAUGCUUAGAUAUCACGAAGAACUCCGAUUGCGAAGGCAGUUCACUGGACUGCAACUGACACUGAGGCUCGAAAGUGUGGGUAUCAAACAGGAUUAGAUACCCGGGUAGUC